GCAUCUGGCGUCCCGACGAGAUCGGGAGUUUCCCUACGGGACAGAUGCGUAGGUGCUGCAUGGUUGUCGUCAGCUCGUGCCGUGAGGUGUCGGCUUAAGUGCCAUAACGAGCGCAACCCUACCGUAGUUGCCAUCAGGUCAAGCUGGGGACUCUAACGGGACUGCCAUCGUAAGGUGCGAGGAAGGUGGGGAUGACGUCAAAUCAGCACGGCCCUUACUCCGGGGCGACACACGUGUUACAAUGGGUGGUACAAAGGGCAGCUACAUGGCGACAUGGUGCCAAUCUCCAAAACCACUCUCAGUUCGGAUCGGAGUCUGCAACUCGACUCCGUGAAGCUGGAUUCGCUAGUAAUCGCGCAUCAGCCACGGCGCGGUGAAUACGUUCCCGGGCCUU
This 394-nucleotide ribosomal RNA is filed under the name uncultured Proteiniphilum sp. RNAcentral's name for it is "bacterial SSU rRNA". It matches the Rfam family "Bacterial small subunit ribosomal RNA", at positions 988 to 1382 of the family's 1533-position model. The record is from RNAcentral. Lineage: Bacteria; Pseudomonadati; Bacteroidota; Bacteroidia; Bacteroidales; Dysgonomonadaceae.